Molecule: ribosomal RNA, 497 nt
Filed under: uncultured bacterium
Lineage: Bacteria
Description: partial 16S ribosomal RNA
Rfam family: Bacterial small subunit ribosomal RNA
Source: RNAcentral
GAUGAACGCUGGCGGCGUGCCUAAUACAUGCAAGUCGAGCGAACAGACCAGGAGCUUGCUCCUCUGACGUUAGCGGCGGACGGGUGAGUAACACGUGGAUAACCUACCUAUAAGACUGGGAUAACUUCGUGAAACCGGAGCUAAUACCGCAUAAUAUAUUGAACCGCAUGGUUCAAUAGUGAAAGACGGUUUUGCUGUCACUUAUAGAUGGAUCCGCGCCGCAUUAGCUAGUUGGUAAGGUAACGGCUUACCAAGGCAACGAUGCGUAGCCGACCUGAGAGGGUGAUCGGCCACACUGGAACUGAGACACGGUCCAGACUCCUACGGGAGGCAGCAGUAGGGAAUCUUCCGCAAUGGGCGAAAGCCUGACGGAGCAACGCCGCGUGAGUGAUGAAGGUCUUCGGAUCGUAAAACUCUGUUAUUAGGGAAGAACAAAUGUGUAAGUAACUAUGCACGUCUUGACGGUACCUAAUCAGAAAGCCACGGCUAACUACGUG